UCUCCGUUGGUGAACCAGCGGAGGGAUCAUUACUGAGUUACCGCUCUACAACCCUUUGUGAACACACCUAACUGUUGCUUCGGCGGGCAGAGGUCCCUCGCGGAUCUCUCCCGGCAACGCCCUCACGGGCGGAGCGCCCGCCGGAGGAUACCAAACUCUAUUUUAACGACGUUUCUUCUGAGUGGCACAAGCAAAUAAUUAAAACUUUUAACAACGGAUCUCUUGGUUCUG
This 231-nucleotide unclassified non-coding RNA is filed under the name plant metagenome. RNAcentral describes it as "partial contains small subunit ribosomal RNA, internal transcribed spacer 1, and 5.8S ribosomal RNA". The record is from RNAcentral.